This 329-nucleotide unclassified non-coding RNA is filed under the name soil metagenome. Its description in RNAcentral is "partial contains 5.8S ribosomal RNA, internal transcribed spacer 2, and large subunit ribosomal RNA". The stretch from base 1 to 120 matches the Rfam family "5.8S ribosomal RNA", at positions 35 to 154 of the family's 154-position model. The record is from RNAcentral.
GAUGAAGAACGUAGCGAAAUGCGAUAAGUAAUGUGAAUUGCAGAAUUCAGUGAAUCAUCGAAUCUUUGAACGCACAUUGCGCCCCUUAGUAUUCCGAGGGGCAUGCCUGUUCGAGCGUCAUUAUAACCCCUCAAGCUCAGCUUGGUGUUGGGGCCUGCUGCACUGGCAGCCCUUAAAAUCAGUGGCGGCGCCAUCUGGCUCUAAGCGUAGUAAUUCUUCUCGCUAUGGAGUCCUGGUGGAUGCUUGCCAUCAACCCCCAAUUUUUCUAUGGUUGACCUCGGAUCAGGUAGGGAUACCCGCUGAACUUAAGCAUAUCAAUAAGCGGAGGA